GACGAACGCUGGCGGCGUGCUUAACACAUGCAAGUCGAACGGAAAGGCCCUGCUUUUGUGGGGUGCUCGAGUGGCGAACGGGUGAGUAACACGUGAGUAACCUGCCCUUGACUUUCGUAUAACUUCAGGAAACUGAGGCUACUACCGGAUAGGAGCUCCUGCUGCAUGGUGGGGGUUGGAAAGUUGCGGCGUGUGGGGAUGGACUAGCGGCUUAUCAGCUUGUUGGUUGGGUAGUGGCUUACCCAGGCUGUGGCGGGUAGGUGGCCUGGGAGGGUGGACGGCCACAUGAGGACUGCGGGACGGCCCAGUGUCCAACGGGAGGCAGCGGGGGGGAGCAUUGCACAAUGAGCGGAAGCCUGAUGCAGCGGCGCCGCGUGCGGGAUGACGGCCUUCGGGUUGUAAACCGCUUUCGCCUGUGACGAAGCGUGUGUGACGGUAAUGGGUAAAGAAGCACCGGCUAACUACGUG
This 468-nucleotide ribosomal RNA is filed under the name uncultured bacterium. RNAcentral's name for it is "partial 16S ribosomal RNA". It matches the Rfam family "Bacterial small subunit ribosomal RNA", at positions 28 to 507 of the family's 1533-position model. The record is from RNAcentral.